UGAUUAUAAAUUAAUAUAUAAUUUACCAGAGUACUAUGAACACACAGUUUAAAACUCAAAGGGCUUGGCGGUGCUUUAGACUAUUCAGGGGAACCUGUCUCGUAAUCGAUAGUCCACGAUACACCUAACCUUUUUUAGUUAUCAGUAUGUAUACCGUCGUCGUCAGGUAACUUUUAAAAAUAAAGAAGUUAGCGACAAAAAUUAUGAUAAUUUUGUACGUCAGAUCAAGGUGCAGCUUAUAAAAAGGUGAGGAUGGGUUACAAUUAAAAUUUAUCAUAACGGAAAAAAGCUUGAUAUACCUUUUAAUG
This 308-nucleotide ribosomal RNA is filed under the name Alviniconcha hessleri. RNAcentral describes it as "partial small subunit ribosomal RNA". The record is from RNAcentral. Lineage: Eukaryota; Metazoa; Mollusca; Gastropoda; Provannidae.